Molecule: ribosomal RNA, 528 nt
Filed under: Triticum aestivum (bread wheat)
Lineage: Eukaryota; Viridiplantae; Streptophyta; Magnoliopsida; Poales; Poaceae
Description: partial small subunit ribosomal RNA
Source: RNAcentral
AUGGAAGGGUCUUUCACAACGUCCGAGCACGAAGCCAAAGAGAAUAUAAUUCACGACCACUUCUCGCAUGUCAUGAAAAAAGAGAGGAGAAGCACCAAGGAGUUCAAUUGGGAGGAGAUCAAUGUGGAGUCGCAUGACUUGCACGAGCUUGCCACUCCAUUUUCCGAGGAGGAGGUCCUUGAGGCGAUAAACGACAUGCCUUCUGACAAGGCGCCUGGGCCGGAUGGUUUCACGGGUCUUUUCUUCAAGAAGAGUUGGAAUAUCAUUAAGCACGACCUCAUGAGGGUGAUUCACCGUUUUGAGUCCCUCCACACAACAAAUCUACACUGGCUCAACUCCACAAAUGUGGUACUUUUGCCUAAGAAGGAUGGGGCAGAGAGGAUCGCAGACUAUAGGCCCAUUAGCCUCAUUCACGCGGUUGCCAAGAUUACUACGAAGGUGCUCUCCAUCAGGCUUGCCCCACACAUGUCCUCUCUCAUCUCCAAUGCUCAGAGUGCCUUCAUCAAAACACGGAGUAUUCAUGCAUGA